This 1353-nucleotide long non-coding RNA is filed under the name Equus caballus (horse). RNAcentral's name for it is "lncRNA (ENSECAG00000059323.1)". Lineage: Eukaryota; Metazoa; Chordata; Mammalia; Perissodactyla; Equidae. The record is from RNAcentral.
UAUCCUCAUUUUCACCCUCUGUUUAAGGCAUUAUUUUUGUGUUUAUUCACACUUGUGUCUUCUGUUUAGUCUUCAGUUCUGAAACUUUUUAAAAAUUUGUUUCUUCCCUAAGUUUUGUCACUUCAUUUCUGAGUUUAUAUAGCUCUAAUUUAUGUUGUUCUUUUGCAUCCUGAAUUAUUUCUUUAAUUUCAUUUAGCCUGUUUUGAAACAGUAGGUUAAUAGUUUUGAUCUAUUUUGUAAGCAUGUUAUACUAGUGUGCUUUUAUUUUCUGUACUAUUCCACUCCUUAAUCUCUCUCCCACUCUGUCUCCCUCAUAAUCAGUUUAUAUGGGAUUUGAUCAUGGUAUUUUUCUGUUGCUUAUAUUUCUAUAAAAUUAGUUCUCCUAAGUAUUUAGGAAGCAUGGUUCAGAAUAGCUUUUCUAACUUCACAAAGUUCUCUUUUUUCUGUUUUUUUAUAACUUAAAAAAUAUGUCAGUUUGCUUUCUGAUGUUUUCUGACUUUGCUAAACUUCCCCACUUUUAUCUGCACCCUCUCUUUCCUUUGUCUUUAUUGUCCCCUCUUGGUUUUCUUUUUUUCUUCUCAUAAUGAUGUUAAGAAACUGAUAGAUCAUGAUCACAUGCAUCACCAUGUGCAUUACCUCAUUUCACAAUAAUCCCAUAAAGUAGAUAUUAUUAUCCCCAUUAUACAGAUGAGAAACUGGGGUACAGAGCAGUUAAGAAAUUUGUCCAAAGGCACAAAUUAGUCAUUAGUGGAGUCAGGAAUCAAAAUUUGACAGUCUUGACAUCAGAGCCUUUGUAUCCUGCUCAAUUUUGAUACAUCUCCAAGCAGUGUGUUGUUGCCCUAUUUUGGAAGGGAGCUAUGACCAGUCAGUUUCAAGAGUUCAUAGGGGUUAGACUGCUUCAGAUCUGAAUGUGCCUUGCACUCACUCCCUGUGAAUUGUGCAAAACCCCUUCCAGUUUCACAUGCUAAUCUCCAAUUGAUCUUCUGUGCUUUCCAGAGAUCUGCUGGCUAUUUUGGAGUUGUCCUGUUCUCAGGUCUAUUAAGACAACUUUUGCCUCCCUUUGCCUCCUCCUGUAGAGAUGCAAAUAUGCACACAUUUUGGCUGCAGCACCUUGUCCCCACCUGCUUCUAUUUUGGGGCUCGUGGGUUACCUUGUCACUUAGUUUUGCUGGAAAAAUUGUAUGUGGGUUUUUCGUUUUGCUAUCUAGUUUUCCUGCUCAUUUUUGUGUGGCGAUUCAUGGAAAUUCAAACACUAAGUUGCUACUGCCACCAUCUCCCUAGGACCUACAACAUUUUAGUCACACAAGAUUCUUCCCCUGUACCUACCCAAUCUUCCCAAAUAACACCAUUAUUU